UACGUAGGGGGCGAGCGUUGUCCGAAGUUACUGGGCGUAAAGCGCACGUAGGCGGUUAUCUAAGUCUGGGGUGAAAGGUUCAGUGCUUAACGCGAACAGUGCCUUGGAGACUGGAUGACUUGAGUUUGGGAGAGGGUAGUGGAAUGGCUGGUGUAGCGGUGAAAUGCGUAGAUAUCAGUCGGAACACCAAUGGCGAAGGCAGCUACCUGGCCUAAAACUGACGCUGAGGUGCGAAAGCGUGGGGAGCGAACGGG
Molecule: ribosomal RNA, 254 nt
Filed under: uncultured bacterium
Lineage: Bacteria
Also listed under: 1 other name
Description: partial 16S ribosomal RNA
Rfam family: Bacterial small subunit ribosomal RNA
Source: RNAcentral